Molecule: long non-coding RNA, 1261 nt
Filed under: Bemisia tabaci
Lineage: Eukaryota; Metazoa; Arthropoda; Insecta; Hemiptera; Aleyrodidae
Description: lncRNA ENSSSA2NGG005496
Source: RNAcentral
GAUGAGAUAAUAAUAUGUUCGUUUUAUUUGCAAGAUUUAACUUUAGAUGUUUGAUUCAUGGAUUUUGGCAAACCUGAUCUAAUUUCUUCAUAUUUAUAAUUUUUCAGAAAAAAAAUGAACUAUGGGAAAGGAAGGUGGCCGUGUUGGGCUCUCGAUGAAAUCACCCAAGAAGAAGUAAAAAAUUUCUCGAAAGAACUUCAGAGAAGCAAAAUACGUUUCAACCCUACAGCUGGCUUCUGAGUUUGUUACCUCCUUCUAGUCAGUCUCUCAACGAAGAAGAAAAUGAAUGGGAAUCAGAUGAUUCUGAUGCUGAGAAAUUUCCUGAAUGUUUAUCCUCAAUUGCUCUUUCUACAAAGGACAAAGUUUUGUCCAACAAAAUAAUGAUAAAUCUCUGCAAGUUCUACCAAACGAUGAAUCUAUGUUGCUCGGCGCAAAAGAAGAGCAAAAGAGUUUCUCUAAAACAGGUGAUACAAGAGAGCAACAAGAAUUAAUUUUAAAAUUUUUACUGCAAUCGAUUAACGAAGAAAACUGCACCAAGGAGAAAAAUUAAAAAGAGUUAAGCGUUCUAAAAGCUUAGACGAUUUUUCUUAAUCAUUUUCAUUGAAAAGGCCAGUGUAUCAAUCAAGUGUGAGGAAAAGAAGGCGAUUUUUGUCAUCUAGUUGCUGAAGUUUUGAAGGACCGGACUUAUGUUCUUGGAAAAUAUUUUUAUUUACCGUGGUUUCAGAAUUCUGGGAAGAACUCACUCACCAUUCUUGUCACAUCUCUCGCACAGACUAUUAAUUCAUUUUUUGAACAAGCCUGUCAUGAAGUGCUGCUACCUCUCUUAAAUUCACCUCAAUCUGGUCUGGUACAGGAUCCAGCUGUGGUAAAAGAUAUACUGGCAUUGUGCAAUCCUGAAUGUUGGUGGUUUUUAUUGAGAAAUUUUCUUGUUCUCCUCAAUAAAGACAAGUUGGCUGAAUGGCAUCUCCCUGCUUUAGAUUUUCUGUGCCAUGAGACGGAGGAACUGGAUGUUUCGUCGCAUACGGAAUCCAUCGUUAACGAACUAACCAAUCUGCUACGAGUAAACUCUGUUGAUUUCAGCAAGAAUCGAUAUUUUGGCAAUAUCAUUUUGCUGCUCAUCAACAUUGUGAAGAAGCAUCAGAAAAUUGUAAAUUUAGAUAUUAUUACAUCUCAACUAACCUCGAUUAUACAGUUCCACAAAGGCCCAACGAAGUACAAAGCUAGUCAGAUGCUGAAGAAAUUAACUGCGGAAAGGCCUUAG